AGUGAACGCUGGCGGUGGGCCUAACACAUGCAAGUCGAACGGCAGCACAGUAAGAGCUUGCUCUUACGGGUGGCGAGUGGCGGACGGGUGAGGAAUACAUCGGAAUCUACUUUUUCGUGGGGGACAACGUAGGGAAACUUACGCUAAUACCGCAUACGACAUACGGGUGAAAGCAGGGGAUCUUCGGACCUUGCGCGAUUGAAUGAGCCGAUGUCGGAUUAGCUAGUUGGCGGGGUAAAGGCCCACCAAGGCGACGAUCCGUAGCUGGUCUGAGAGGAUGAUCAGCCACACUGGAACUGAGACACGGUCCAGACUCCUACGGGAGGCAGCAGUGGGGAAUAUUGGACAAUGGGCGCAAGCCUGAUCCAGCCAUACCGCGUGGGUGAAGAAGGCCUUCGGGUUGUAAAGCCCUUUUGUUGGGAAAGAAAGGCAGCAGGUUAAUACCCCGCUGUUCUGACGGUACCCAAAGAAUAAGCACCGGCUAACUUCGUG
RNAcentral lists this ribosomal RNA (492 nucleotides) under uncultured bacterium. RNAcentral's name for it is "partial 16S ribosomal RNA". It matches the Rfam family "Bacterial small subunit ribosomal RNA", at positions 29 to 507 of the family's 1533-position model. The record is from RNAcentral.